UACGUAGGGUGCAGGCGUUAAUCGGAAUUACUGGGCGUAAAGCGUGCGCAGGCGGUUUCUUAAGUCAGAUGUGAAAGCCCCGGGCUUAACCGGGGAACUGCGUCCGAUACUGGAUGGCUAGAGUUCGGGAGAGGGAUGCGGAAUUCCAGGUGUAGCGGUGAAAUGCGUAGAUAUCUGGAGGAACACCGGUGGCGAAGGCGGCAUCCUGGACCGACACUGACGCUGAGGAGCGAAAGCCAGGGGAGCAAACGGG
This 253-nucleotide ribosomal RNA is filed under the name uncultured bacterium. RNAcentral describes it as "partial 16S ribosomal RNA". It matches the Rfam family "Bacterial small subunit ribosomal RNA", at positions 524 to 776 of the family's 1533-position model. The record is from RNAcentral.